This 34567-nucleotide long non-coding RNA is filed under the name Ananas comosus (pineapple). RNAcentral describes it as "long non-coding RNA (ACOM_LNC044335)". The record is from RNAcentral. Lineage: Eukaryota; Viridiplantae; Streptophyta; Magnoliopsida; Poales; Bromeliaceae.
CGCCAUACGUCUAAAAUAUAUAAGGCAGUGAUAAAAGACAACUAGGAGUAUCAGAGCAUGAUAAGUGUCUAAGUUCAACGACAAGGGAGUAAGGAUAAAACUGAAAUCCACUAAAGAAACAUAAGGUAGUACAAAGGAAACCCCAAAAUAAGUGCUAAAAGUAAAUACAUAGGUGGUCUCUAUACAUGGAUACAAAAUCUCUAACUCUCUCAACUACCAAAAAGAAAGAGUAAACCACCUAGGCAAAGAACCGCUCCUCGCUAGCUAGCUAUGCGAUCCCCUUGCCACGACCCCGUGCCUCCGCCGGUGCCGAAGGCUCUGAAAGAAACCACAAAAAGAGGGCGUGAGAACUAUUAAAAAUAGUUCCCAGUGGGCAAUUACUGACUUCAGUGAACUGCGCCACAAGGCCCAAAAGCUACAAGGAAGAGGUCAGUGACAAAAUGUACUAAAGCAAAAGGAAAGUAAAAUGUAACUCGCUAUAGCAUAAUGUCUCUACUUAGCAUGAUUUGUAUAAGUAAUAAAGCAACUAUAACAUGAAUGCACAUGGAUGUGUAUAACAUGAAUCAGCAUAGGUAUGCAACCCUCACGAUGUCCAUAAUACAAAUAGUAAAGAUAUCACUGUUUACUAUUCUAGCCAAAGUCCCGUCAAUAUACAAAGUCAUCAUCUGUCCUCAUGUCAUAAUGAAUACUCAAAGUCAAAUCUGAAGAGACCCACCCGAAGGCUGUCUAUGGCCCUGAGACCCACCCGUAGGCUGUCUGGCCGGUGCCGAGCCUAAUGGCCCCGUGGUAGUCAUCAUCCCCACCCUAGGAAUGAGCCUGGCCCACGGCAAUCCACUUUGGCGCCCAAUCCCGCACGGCGAAUAUGAAUCGCGAUGGCUAUCUCCGGAGUGCCGGCUUGUAGGGAGCGACCCUCACAAGCAUGUGCGAAUGAGCACAAUGGCAAGUAGUCAUACGUCCUGUCACAAGUACCAAGUCCUCAUGUCUAAAAUAUGGAAUGUAUCGAAUGUCCCAAUGGCCUAUCUCUAUGUCAUCAUGUCUCUAACAUGGAAUAUAUAGCAGAUGUUCGAUGACCUAACAUUAUAUCUCUAUGUUGCAGUUUCAUAGUUUACUAGUUUCGAGUGCCCCUUGAUGACACUUCAUGCUACUAAGUCAAGCCUAGUAUACUGUUUCCCAUUAUCCAAAUAUGAGCUAAUUUAGCAUUCUAGACGAGCAUCCCAUUCGUCCACACGAACACUCCUCACAUGCAUGAAAAUAACCCUGCUCGCUCUACUAUAUAGAGUGAAAUUUAACUUACACAUAAGGCAUGCAUUUUAAGUGUCCUAAAAUUCACAUAAAUUCCAUUUAGCAUAGAAAUGCAUUUAAAAAUACUUUACAACAAGUAUAAAGGGCAUAGGGGCCAUUUUGCCCCGUUUCCACGAAGCCAAACCCACCAAAAUCGACUUCUUCGUUUCGCUGAACGAAGUGAUCCACAAGCUUCCUAGUACCCUAGAAGCAUCAAAAGUAGGGUUACCCAAACGAAACGAAGAGCCUAUAGCUCAAUCAUUAACCAUCUAGCAAAAGGGGUAAAACUCACCUCAAGAGCAACAAUCUCCUCUCAAGCUCCAAAUGAGAGCUAGAACCCUUCCAAUCUAUCCUAGAGGAAGGUUCUAAUCCAAAAGAUUGAGCCUCAAAAGCCCUAAAUCAAAAACGCCCAAAAACAACCCUAAGUGUACAAUCUAGGGUUUCAUCUCAAAGAGAACCUCAAAUCCAAAAUCUAGAGGGAGAGAAUAAGCUACCAACCUCUUAGAAGCUUCCAACAAGGUUCAAAGUCCUCAAGGUCGAAGAAUCUCUCCUCCAACAAGCUCCAAACCCAAGCUCUAAUGGUGGAAAUGCCUUCAACACCCAAAAAGGAGCAAAAAGAGGUGUUUAAUCUCUAAAAACCCAAGCAAAAUCAAGGAAAAGGAAUGAGGAGGUGUGGAGAGCUCCCUCACCUUUCUCCUUGCUGGUGCCAAGCUCAGGGAAGACCCCUAGGGCGUGGGGAUACAAAUAGAGAGGCUACAAUCGCGAAUACACCCCUGCAGUUCAAACUACUCAAAAACUGCCUCCUUGUACCGGUACACGGGCUCUUGUACCAGUACAAGCCCAACGAAAAUCACAACCCGAGGCUCGGGUUGGCGGGUUCAGCGGCUCUGUACCGGUACAAGCCGAUGGCUGUACCGGUACAACUAUCAACCCUUGUACCGGUACACCCAUCAACCCUGUACCGGUACAAGGCCCUGAAAACUGAAAUCCGAGAGCAGCCUAAGCCCAACUUUUUGGUGACCUUAGCGCUACUUUAAAAACCUCGAUUCUCAGGAUACGCGCCAUAGGUCGGAACACAGUCAACGACCCACCAGAAAAUCUGGAAAAGCUCAGGACACAGUCCAAACACUCGAACCUCGCAAUUUGCAAAGGUCCAGUGUGCUACAGGUUACGAUGGCAUCGAUCCCGUCAUGUGCGAGUGGGAGAUGUUGGCAUUCGGUUAAAUCGAAUCGGGUACGCCCAUAAGCGGGUUCGAUCCGACGGAUAUUAUGUUAUCUAAUUGGAUUGGAAUUAAUCUCGCUUUCAAAUUGAAAAGUUAGUUAAAGAUAAAUCCUAGUCAUAUUAGGAUAACAAUUAAUAACCGUUUUGGCCUUAUCUCUAACGCUAUUAGGAUUUUGGAAUCCCUAUAAAUAUGCGGGCGAUCCCACAUAACAAAAGGUACAAGAACGAAAAAAGAAAAGAGAAUAAGAAAACAAAAGAGAGAAACCACAUCCUCCAUUAACCUAUUAUUCUAGAGGGACUUGAACGGUGGAUUUGUGAUCGUGCUCGUUUGUAGUUCGAUCCAUUGCGAGUUUGGAACGUGAGAAGAUUUAAUCAAGGACGAUCAAAGGACACGUGAAUCAACCUCGACGAUCCGGGCUCAUCGCGUUAUAGCGCGAAUCGCUUCCGCAAAAAGGUAUGAACGAAUACUUCCGCUGCGUUCUACAUUUUACCUCACUUGGGUGCUCACAUUUUAUCUCAUGCAUACAUAUAGGGUUAAACAUUCAUAGGGGUUCUCAACCAUCUCAUUAGACAAAUUGUACUCACAAUAUGCGACAUCACAUUAUUCUCAUUACAUAUACCCUACUAUGCAUGCAACAAUGUAUAUAACAUAUGCUCAAUUGAAUGACACAUUAGGCAUAGAAGGAAGUUCAACGAGUUUGGAUAGUACCACCCACCUCGUAGGUUCUCAAAGGUGCUCCGACGAUUUUCUUGGGAUUUUUAGACACCCGGUUCGCUACCUGCGAGUUAACGAAGCCAAUUAGGCUUAUUUGGCCGUAACUUUACAUCGGCUUUUCGUAACGUUAAUCCGAGCACACCAACGCGUCGGAAAUACCCCCAAUUAGAUUUCUAGAGGGUCAAUUGCACUUUAGAACCCUCGCAAGCAAAAGCCCCAAUUUGGGUGCCCUGGCUCAUAACAUACAUCAAACCUAGGGUUUGAUCUCAUUGGGAAGCAAAAGAAGCUUCAUUCUACGCUAAAGACUCCACAAAAAUCAUCUUUAGUUCAAUCCAAACCCUAGUUUGGAUUCUACCAUGAGAGGGGUUGAAGCUCUCCUUCAAGCUUCACCUUCCACACCAUUCCAUGGUUUUGAUCUCAAAAUGAAGCAAAAGAUAGCUUCAAACACUCUAUAGGUUCUAUUAAAACCAUUUCUAGGUCCAUCCAAACCCUAGUUUGAGCUUUACCACUAUUGGGAUUCAAAGCUUACCUUGUAAGCUUUCCUUUUCCAAGCUAGGGAAGGAGAGGAGGGGUCUUCUUCUCCUCCUUGCCUUCUUCUUCACCUUCUUCCUCUUCUUUUCUUUUCUUCUUCUUGUCUUCUUCUUCUCCUUCUUGUCUUCUAGAGAGAGAAAGAGAGAUGAGAGGGGGAGUGUGAGGGAGAGAAUGAGAGGAAAAGCCCUCAAAACCCCCCACUUAACCAUUGGGUUGCACAAAUGCAAAUAGGCCCCUCAACUUUCACUUUAUUGAACUGCUUGAACUGGGCAGUUUUCGGGUUCGGGGACUGGUCUCCCGACUUGGGACCGGUCCCAGAGAGCUCUCCCGCAGCUCAGCGGGGGCCUUCGCACGAGGCAACCGGUCUCUCCGAGGGAGACCGGUCUCUCGGGGACCGGUCUCUCCCCGGAGGGACCGGUUCCCGAGAGCUGGUUUUCUGGGACUUAGCCGAUUUUCAGCUUUUCUCAUUUCUCACGCGUUCGGGGACAGGUCUCUCCCACCAAGGACCGGUCCCCGAGAGCUCAAAAACUGCAGUUUGAAGAUUUUUGAUUCUUUAGCUCUCGAAAACCUCCCACAACGCACUUUUGAUCAUUUUAACACCUUCGGACUUUUCGAAGUGUACCACCCUCGCACUUUGGUCAAUUUGACUAAAGUUCGAUAUUUAUUUUCCGAAUUUUUGGUAUAUUACACCCCGUGUAAGGAAGUGAAUUCUCGAAAUCCGAGAGUUGUACUUCGUCCAGGAUCGACUAUUUGUCGAGUGAGUAUCCUUCGGAAAGGCUAAAGAUAUCCAAAACACGAAAAGUGCAUUGGAAACGUGUCCGCGAGAGCAGAUAUGCAGAAAUCUGGACUCAGCAGAUUUUGCUCUCGGGGACCGGUCCCUGGAAGGGAGGACCGGUCCCCGUAGCUGAUGGUUGCGGGGGAGGUUGAUGCAACUGGUCCCUGGCUGAGGGGACCAGUCCCCGUGUGCGACGUCAGCGAGAGAAGGCCAAAAUCGGCUAAGUCCUGAAAAUCGAGCUCUCGGGGACCGGUCUCUCAGGUGAGGACCGGUCUCCCGGGGAGAGACCGGUUCCCGAACGUGAAGAGGCCCUCUGGCCGCCAGGACUGCUCUCGGGGACCGGUCCCAGGUCGGGGAGACCGGUCCCUCUGGGCGCAGAAUGCCCAGUAAGAGCAGUGUACAGAGACAAAAGUUGAGGGGGUUAACUGAAUAUUGUUAAAAUAGAGGGGCUUAUGGGUCCCCUCGCUCUCUCAUUCUCCCAUUUCUCUCUCUCUCUCUCUCUCUCUCUCUCUCUCUCUCUCUCACUCUCUUGCUCUCUCUAUCUAGAAAAGAAAGAACAAAAGAGAAGGAGAAGAAGGAAGAGAAGAAGAAGAAGGAGGAGAAGAAGAAGAAGACGGAGGAGAACAAGCUAGAGAAGGCUUGGAGCAUCUUCCUCUCUUCCUCUCCUCUCCAUUGGUGUAGCUCAAGAGGUAGGCUACCACCCUAGCUUGUAGAGCUUAGGGUUUUUGGGUUUUGAGCUUUGAGAUGAGGUCAAAUGGACUUCUAGUACCAUUGUUGGUGGAUUAGAGCUAGAGGCUAGGGUUUCAUGGUGCAAAUGGCAUGAUGCUAACCCUAGGGCACCUAAAAUGGGAUUUUUGGAAAUAGAUGAGAUUGAUCCCAUUUGAGGCCUUGUAAACCUAAUUGCUAGGUGUCCAAACGCGUUUGCGGAGUCGGAUUUAUGAUUCGUCGAGCGGGUGUAGAGCUAUCGGCAAAGUAGGGCCGACCUAGCUUCGUUUCUCCCAAAGAGGCGGGGAACACGUGGUUUGAAGUGCCGAGGAACGCUUCUAGGACCUCCACAACGAUUAUCGACGAGAAAAGGUGGGGGGUGUCAUCCCGAAGCAACCGAACUCUUUUCUAUGUCUUAGAAAUACAUGAUUUGCAUCUCUUGCAUGUUGCAUUGUAGGAUUGCAUUGUAGUACCUUUUCCUUAUGCUUCUAAAUGUAAACCUAGUGUACAUGGAACGCUUGGUGACUUGGAUAGGUGAGGAUUGGGUCGAAACGUGGAUCCUAUAGUGCUAAAGGGAAGAGAUGGACACGAUGGGUGUUUGGUGACAUAGAAAAUGACAUCUAAAUGUUAGAGAUCAUAUCGAGUGGCAUUAAAGUAGUGUAUUUGACACUAGAGAUUCUUGUGAACAUAGGGAUAAGUGGACUCCCUAGAAAAUGCCUUGUGGAUAAAGAACUUAGUAAAGCUAAGUAUCCUCACAUGGAGAGGAUGUAGAUGAUUCCGAGAGAUAUGUUGACCCUAGCGGUAGGAUAUCCCCACAUGGAGGGCAUAGAUCGAGCUCACGGUCUGUUUUGGGGUGGUAUAGCGAUCCAUAUCCUCACAUGGAGAGGAUUGUCGUCGAGUACUCCGGAGUGUCGGGCGAUUAGGACCACAUGGAGGUCCGCAGACAGUCCCGGGUUUGNGGUACACUCCUAUGAAUCGAAAUGAUUCAAGAAACAGGUGUUCCGUAAAAGAUCCCUCAGGUGAAUAGGGAUUCAAGUGUUCUUGGAGAUCACAGUUUAUGUGAUGAAAUUACGGUGAGCUAUACUAGAGAUUGUAAAUCUACAGUAAAAGAUACAGUGGUUUGUGGGUAGCACAGGUAGAGAGGAUGUAGAUGAUUCCGAGAGAUAUGUUGACCCUAGCGGUAGGGUAUCCCCACAUGGAGGGGAUAGAUCGAGCUCACGGUCUGUUUUGGGGUGGUAUAGCCAUCUAUAUCCUCACAUGGAGAGGAUUGUCGUCGAGUACUCCGGAGUGUCGGGCGAUUUUGACCAAAUGGAGGUCCGCAGACAGUCCCGGAUUUCGGGGCACAUGGAGCUCCCUUGCCCAAUACGGGAUGGAAAGGUGAGUUGUAGGCGAGCCCAAGGGUUUCGCCACGGAUUGGGUAAAUGAACAAUUAACAAUGUCAUGGAACAUUAUCAUUCGAAUAUGGAUCGAAAUUGUUAGCAUGUUAGUAAACCUUUACUAUAUGAUGCAUGCAUUCAUUAUACAUGAUUUUAGGCAUAGUAGCAUAGUUUUCCUUUAUGCCUUUACAGCUUUGAGAUAUCUAUCUAUCUAUCUAUUUGUUGUUACUUGUGCCCACUUGGACCUAGUGGGGAGAUCGGCGGAGUCGGCGGCCGAGCCCACCGGGAACUAUGGAAGAUAGUUCUCACCCCACUCUAUUUCCAGUGGUAGGUACAGGUUUACCGAGCCAGGACCGCGGCAAGGGCAUCACGCCCGACCAGUGAGACCAUGGUAGUAUAGUAGCUUUCCUUUUUGCAUUAGCACACCUAUGUAUUGAGAGAGAGAUUCAUGUAGGUGAGGUUGGAGAGCUAUGUAUUUUGAUGAACAAAUGUAUUCAUUUUGGGGAAAAGAUUUACAUGAAAAAGAAUUCAAAGUAUCGUAAUAGUUAGUAAAGUUCUCUCUUUAUUUCACUUGUAUUUCUCGUGGAUUACUUGCUCUUGUUGUUGUUGGCACCGUUUGUGCCCCGUUGAAUGUGUAUGUUUAGAAUUUGAAUUCCUGGGUAAAUUCUUGUACACAUUCCUAUUGUUGAGCCUUGGGCGAAUAGGAGAGGUGCUGUCCGUUCGGCGGUCCGCCCGCCGCGCCCGAAUCGUGCCAAAUUGGUAGUGGUUUCGGGGCGGGGCGUGACAGUCGUGUGGUAUCAGAGCAGUAAGAGCAAGUAAAGAGAGAAAGUCUAGGAUAACCUAGGAGACCCUAGGUUGGUGAGCCCUAAGUUUAUAGGUGCGUGAGCGGAACGUGAACCUAUAACGAUGGCGGAAGUUAAUUUGAUUGGGUCGAGAUUGAAGUUAUCUCUCUAGUAGCGACUAGAGGUGAAUUCAAGUGGUAUUAGCUCUUGACUUGAGGUGGUGGUGUCAGCGGCCGACGACAUGACGCCAAGAGUCGGGAACGAGUACACUUGUGUGCUUCCGCCCGAUUUAGUUAUCGAGUCGUCUUAUGUGGUAAUUGCGACGAGGCGAACGGGUUAAGAUAAUUAACCAAGUACUUGCGUUUCAGGAGCCAAUGGCACCAAGAGGACGCCCGAGCACAAGAUCUACUCCGGCACCGCCUCCUGAGGUGCCCGAGCACCCUGAACGGAGCAUGAUGGAUCGGUUGCAAGCACAGGUGUCCGCGUUGACCAAUGUGGUGCAGCGCCAGGAGACCCGAUUUGAGCGGCUCCAGGAUCUUUUAGAGCGACAGGUAGCGGCGGCGGCUGCGACGGUGAACGAGGGCGGUGGUCCGCCCGCACCCUCGAUUCAUGUACCCGAAGCGGCAGAGGGUGAGGGUAUAGCGGCGGUUCCGGUGACGACACGCCCACCGCGAGCGAUCAUACCACAGGCGGCGUCGGGAUCGGCUACACCCGAUGUGACGGCCGAAGAUGUGGAAGGAGAGCGCACAUUGGCGGCUCUUAUUAAGUUCAACAAGUUCCAUCCGCCUACCUUUGAGGGCGAGAAAGUGGAGCCGGCAAUGGUCGAGUCUUGGAUCGAUUCGAUGGAGACUCUCUUUGAGGACUUGCAUACCUUGGAGAGGGACAAGGUGUACCUUGCCACCCACUGUCUGGAGAAGGCGGCAAAGGUAUGGUGGAAGCGCGUGAAGCCAGAUCGGCCUUCCGAUCUCCCGCCGAUGUUGUGGGAGGAAUUCAAGCGGGAGAUGUUCGCCAACUACUUUCCCGAUACGUUGAAGCGGAAGCUUAAGGAGAAGUUCCGCAAGUUAGAGCAAGGGGACCGCUCAGUGGCGGAGUAUGAACAAGAGUUCUCCUACAUCAUUGAUUGUGUCCCGGACGUAGUGAAGGAUGACCGGGACCGGGCCGAUUGGUUCUUGCGAGGACUUCGGCCAGGGAUUUAUAAGGCCGUGCAGAUACUCAAGCUCACGACCUUUGCGGAGGUCUUCGACCGAGCACUUUGGGCGGAGCACGGAGACGCCCACGUUCGGGAGAAGCGUGAAGAUGCUGGCCGAGUCCAAGGACAAAGGCAAGAAACGCCAAGGCGGCGACGGUUCGGGGGGACAAGCACGUUCCAAGAAGCCCCCGAAGUAUCCGCGGACUCAGCCAAAGGGAGGUGGAGCGCGACGGUGCAUCAUAUGCGGCGGAGACCACCCAGUCUCGCGAUGUGAGCAGGGCCGAGGCAAGUGCUACAAGUGUGGGCAAUCGGAACACUUCAUUCGGGACUGCCCAGGAGGAGGAGCCUCACCUGCCCCAUCGACUGCAUCGGCGCCGGCGAUUUCGGCUCAUUAUGGAGGAGUUCCACCGACGGCCGCGUCGACGGGACGCGCGAUGAUGCAGCGUCAGCCUGAGGUGACGCGAUCAGCUCCGAGCGGCCGGGUAUUCGCCGCUCAGGUUCAAGCCGAGGAGCCUGCAGAGGUGGAGGAGCAUCGCCUUGUGGCAGGUAUGGCUUUAAUUAACGGAGUUCGCUCCAGGGCUUUAUUUGAUACAGGAGCCACGCAUUCAUUCAUUAGUAGAUCAUUCGCACGCAUGCAUGACAUUCUUAUUGAGGCGAGUGACAAGUGGCGGGUUGAGGGCCCUGGGUCGACGUUUAAUACCUACUUAGAGUGUGCAUCGUGUCCGGUACAAGUAGGCGACUGGAUGAUGCCUAUUCGGACGCUAGAACUCAAGAAGCUCGAGGCUUAUGACAUCAUUUUGGGCAUGGACUGGCUCUCGAAAAAUCAUGCAACGAUCGACUGUAAAAGCAGGGUAAUUACGUUUCGUGAGCCAGGACAAAAGGAGUUCACAUAUCGGGCUUGCCAGAGCUCGUGCUUCGUCGCGACGGUGUCGGCGACGAGAGCAAGGAAGUUGGUCAACAGCGGUUGCACGGCAUUCUUAAUAACUGUUGUGGAAAUGGAACGAGUAGCCCCAACAUUGGAGGAGUUAUCGGUGGUGCGGGAGUUCCCGGAUGUAUUUCCCGCGGAGUUACCGGGGAUACCACCGGAUCGAGAGAUCGAGUUCGUUAUAGACUUGGUUCCCGGUACCGCACCGAUCUCAAAGGCUCCGUACCGAAUGGCGCCGGCGGAACUGAAAGAGUUGAGGAGUCAAUUGCAAGACCUUCUCGACAAGCAGUUUAUCCGGCCAAGUGUAUCACCGUGGGGAGCCCCGGUGCUUUUUGUAAAGAAGAAGGAUGGAUCGUUUCGACUCUGUGUGGAUUAUCGAGAGUUGAACAGAGUCACGAUCAAGAACAAGUACCCACUUCCCCGAAUCGACGACCUGUUCGACCAGUUGCAGGGGUUGUGUGUGUACUCGAAGAUAGAUUUGCAGUCUGGCUAUCACCAGUUGAAGAUUAAGCCGAAGGAUGUGCAGAAAACUGCGUUUCGUACGCGGUACGGGCACUAUGAAUUCACGGUUAUGCCAUUUGGACUCACGAAUGCUCCAGCGGCAUUUAUGGACUUGAUGAACCGUGUCUUCAGGAGGUUUUUGGAUCAAUUUGUCGUGGUCUUCAUAGACGACAUAUUGGUCUAUUCUCGUAGUGACGAGGAACAUGCCGAACAUUUGAGGAUAGUGCUUCAAACCCUUCGGGAGGAGAAGCUGUAUGCUAAGUUGAAGAAGUGUGACUUCUGGCUCCGAGAAGUCGCAUUUCUAGGGCAUGUGAUUUCCGCGGGUGGAGUUUAAGUAGACCCGAGGAAGGUUGAGGCAAUCAGGAAUUGGCCGCGCCCGACUAAUGUCACGGAGGUUCGAAGCUUCGUGGGCUUGGCGGGCUAUUAUAGGCGGUUUGUGGAAGGCUUUUCCAAGAUAGUGAUUCCAUUUACUCGCCUGACUAAGAAAGGCACCAAGUUUGUUUGGAGCGAGGAAUGCGACCGGAGUUUCAAGGAGUUGAAGUAGAGUGCUCGCCCUACCGGUGCAAGGCGAAGACUUCGUAGUCUAUAGCGAUGCUUCCUAUCUAGCAUUGGGGUGUGUUUUGAUGCAAAACGGGAAGGUGAUUGCUUAUGCAUCCCGUCAGCUGAAGAGCUAUAAAAAGAACUAACCCAUCCAUGAUUUGGAACUGGCGGCGGUAAUUUUUGCCUUGAAGUUGUGGCAGCACUAUCUAUAUGGUGCCCAUUGUGAAAUCUAUACCGACCACAAGAGCUUGAAGUAUUUGUUCAUGCAGAAAGAGCUCAACAUGAGGCAGCGGCGGUGGUUAGAACUAUUAAAGGAUUAUGAUGUGGAUAUCCCUUACCACCCCAGGAAAGCUAAUGUGGUCGCUGAUGCAUUGAGCAGGAAGUCGGUGGAGAACCUCUCGAUGUGGGUUACAAACCAGACACCGUUAUGCCUAGACAUGGAACGGAUGGAUCUAGAGGUGGUUGCUCCUGAGACUCCGACUCAGUUGAUGGCACUUGUUGUCCAACCGACCUUGUUGGAGAAGAUUAAAGAUCUGCAACCUGCGGACCCAGAACUCCAAAAAGUACGACGAAACAUCGAGGAGGGUCGAAGUGGCGAUUUCGGUAGACGCCGAGGGUACACUUCGGUUUCGAAACCGGAGGUGUGUGCCCAAAGACGGAGAGCUUCGCGAGUUGAUUCUGCAAGAAGCACACCGAUCUCCGUAUGCUGAUCACCCGGGCGGCACCAAGAUGUAUCAAGGAUUAAAAAUGCACUACUGGUGGCCAGGAAUGAAGGGUGAUAUUGGACGCUUUGUGGCGAAGUGCUUAACAUGCCAACAAGUGAAGGCCGAGUGUCGAUUUCCAGCGGGAAAGCUUCAAAGCCUACCAAUCCCCGUUUGGAAAUGGGAGGAUAUAUCAAUGGACUUCGUGGUCGGCUUGCCUCGCUCAACGGACGGCCACGAUGCAAUUUGGGUAAUUGUGGACCGAUUGACGAAGUCGGCUCACUUCUUUCUGAUCCACACCACGUGGUCGGGUGACAAGUUAGCGCAGGUAUACCUCAAUGAGAUAGUGAGACUGCAUAGGGUGCCGAAAUCAAUCGUGUCGGAUCGUGACCCCCGGUGCACUUCACACUUUUGGAAGAGCCUGCAGGAAGCCCUUGGCACACGGCUCGACUUUCGCACCGCAUUUCAUCCUCAGACCGAUGGGCAAACAGAGAGAACCAUUCAAACUCUUGAGGAUAUGUUGCGAGCGUGUGUCAUUGACUAUAAAAGGAGUUGGUGUGAUCACUUACCAAUGGCCGAGUUCGCCUACAACAAUAGUUAUCACGCUAGUGUGGAGAUGGCACCGUUCGAGGCUCUUUAUGGGCGAAAGUGCCGAUCUCCUAUACACUGGAGCGAUGUGGGUGAGCGUGCAGAGUUCGGCCCUGAUGUUCUGCGAGAAGCGGAGGAGAAAGUCCGCCUUGCUCGCAAGAGAUUGCUCAUGGCGCAGUCUAGACAGCAAAGCUAUGCAGAUAGGCGCCGUCGAGAUAUCGAGUUCGCGGUGGGCGACCGUGUAUUCUUGAAGGUUUCACCGAUACGGGGUGUGAAGCGGUUUGGAGUGCGGGGGAAGUUGAGUCCCUGAUACAUUGGACCCUAUGAAAUAUUGGAGCGAGUUGGCACAGUGGCUUAUCGACUCGCUUUGCCGCCGAAGCUCGCGGAUGUACACAAUGUGUUCCAUGUCUCCAAUCUCCGCAAGUAUGUUCACGACCCCGAGCAUGCGAUGUUAUAUGAACCGCCGGAACUUCAAAGAGACUCGAGUUAUGAAGAGUUUUCGGUGGGGAUUAUCGCCCGAGAGGUGCGAAAGUUGAGAAAUCGAGAAAUUCCCUACGUAAAGAUUCGGUGGAGCAAUCACGAUGAUCGCGAGGCCACCUGGGAACUCGAGGAUCUGAUGAGAAAGCACCAUCCUCAUCUAUUUGAGGAGUAAGGUAUGGAUUUAAGUUAAAGAUGAGAAUUGAGUUAGUUUGGAGGACGAAACUCCUUUUAAGGAGGGGAGGAUGUAAGGAAGUGAAUUCUCGAAAUCCGAGAGUUGUACUUCGUCCAGGAUCGACUAUUUGUCGAGCGAGUAUCCUUCGGAAAGGCUAAAGAUAUCCAAAACACGAAAAGUGCAUUGGAAACGUGUCCGCGAGAGCAGAUAUGCAGAAAUCUGGACUCAGCAGAUUUUGCUCUCGGGGACCGGUCCCUGGAAGGGAGGACCGGUCCCCGUAGCUGAUGGUUGCGGGGGAGGUUGAUGCAACCGGUCCCUGGCUGAGGGGACCGGUCCCCGUGUGCGACGCCAGCGAGAGAAGGCCAAAAUCGACUAAGUCCUGAAAAUCGAGCUCUCGGGGACCGGUCUCUCAGGCAAGGACCGGUCUCCCGAGGACCGGUCUCCCGGGGAGAGACCGGUUCCCGAACGCGAAGAGGACCUCUGGCCGCUAGGACUGCUCUCGGGGACCGGUCCCAGGUCGGGGAGACCGGUUCCUCUGGGCGCAGAAUGCCCAGUGAGAGCAGUGUACAGAGACAAAAGUUGAGGGGGUUAACUGGAUAUUGUUACAAUAGAGGGGCUUAUGGGUCCCCUCCCUCUCUCAUUCUCCCAUUUCACUCUCUCUCUCUCUCACUCUCUUGCUCUCUCUCUCUAGAAAAGAAAGAACAAAAGAGAAGGAGAAGAAGGAAGAGAAGAAGAAGAAGGAGGAGGAGAACAAGCUAGAGAAGGCUUGGAGCAUCUUCCUCUCUUCCUCUCCUCUUCAUUGGUGUAGCUCAAGAGGUAGGCUACAACCCUAGCUUGUAGAGCUUAGGGUUUUUGGGUUUUGAGCUUUGAGAUGAGGUCAAAUGGACUUCUAGCACCAUUGUUGGUGGAUUAGAGCUAGAGGCUAGGGUUUAAUGGUGCAAAUGGCAUGAUGCUAACCCUAGGGCACCUAAAAUGGGAUUUUUGGAAAUAGAUGACAUUGAUCUCAUUUGAGGCCUUGUAAACCUAAUUGCUAGGUGUCCAAACGCGUUGGCGGAGUCGGAUUUACGAUUCGUCGAGCGGGUGUAGAGCUAUCGGCAAAGUAUGGCCGACCUAGCUUCGUUUCUCCCAAAGAGGCGGGGAACACGUGGUUUGAAGUGCCGAGGAACGCUUCUAGGACCUCCACAACGAUUAUCGACGAGAAAAGGUGGGGGGUGUCAUCCCGAAGCAACCGAACUCUUUUCUAUGUCUUAGAAAUACAUGAUUUGCAUCUCUUGCAUGUUGCAUUGUAGGAUUGCAUUGUAGUACCUUUUCCUUAUGCUUCUAAAUGUAAACCUAGUGUACAUGGAACGCUUGGUGACUUGGAUAGGUGAGGAUUGGGUCGAAACGUGGAUCCUAUAGUGCUAAAGGGAAGAGAUGGACACGAUGGGUGUUUGGUGACAUAGAAAAUGACAUCUAAAUGUUAGAGAUCAUAUCGAGUGGCAUUAAAGUAGUGUAUUUGACACUAGAGAUUCUUGUGAACAUAGGGAUAAGUGGACUCCCUAGAAAAUGCCUUGUGGAUAAAGAACUUAGUAAAGCUAAGUAUCCUCACAUGGAGAGGAUGUAGAUGAUUCCGAGAGAUAUGUUGACCCUCCGAAUCGUGCCAAAUUGGUAGUGGUUUUGGGGCGGGGCGUGACACCCCGGGCCAAGGGGACCGGUUCCCGAACGCGUAGAUUUGGGGAGGUCCUGAGGGACCGUGUCACGUCCCGCUAUCGCCAAUUUGGUCGAUCCGGGCCCGUACACAGACGCCGAACGAACAGCACCUCCUCUGUUCGCCCAAGGCUCAACAACAACGAAUACAUGUAUAAAGAAAUUAAACAAUUCCCAGGAUCACAUUUCAAUAUACAUGGCUUGCACGAAGACAAGCAACAACACAAAUGAUAGUAAGUCUAACUAAACAUGAAAUCCACUGUAAUUCAAAACUUUACAUAACUGAAACAUUUAGUUAUAUACAUGUUCUUCAAUACAUUCAUUUACAUGUCUCUGUACAUCGAAAUAGAUGAUACAUGAACCCAAAUGGUAUACCACUAGUACUCGGGUGUCCACUAGCUAGGCUGCUGGCUCUUGCCUCGAUCCUCGGCCACAAUACUCGCACUGGAACCUGUAUGGUUAGUGGUGUGAGAACUACAAGAAAGUUCCCAGUGGGUUCGGCCGCCGACCUCGCCGACUCACCCACUAGGUCUACUCAGGCAUAUGUAGGCAAGAACAGUAAGCAGAUAGUAACCAACUACAACAUGUAACUACUACAAUGCCUGUACAAAGCUGAAAGAAGUAACAGAUAUAAAAACUGUAAAUAUGCAUGCAUGCUUUUCAUUAACUUUAUCCAAUCUUUUGGUUAACCCUGUGGUUAACAGCUGGACAAGUACGUUAGUCCUGGGGCAAGUACGUUAGCCCAUAAAUUUACCCAAUUCAGUGGUUAACCCUUUGGUUAACAAUAACUCACCAACGAAAUCCCUCACGGUCCCUAAGCUGCCUCCCGAUGGGACCGUCUGUCGGACAAGUACGUUAGUCCUGGGGCAAGUACGUUAGCCCAACAAGUGACUACUCCGGAGCUCACUGCCUGGGGGGAGCGACCACCACCAAGCAAGAAAACAGACUAUGUGAGUAAGAUCUGAUCCCCCUUAGAGGAUUCAACUGACAAUAAUGUCACAAUUUAACUCUAACUAGUUCUUUAUACUAGUUUCAUAAUUUCACUGUUUAUCUCACAAUGCUAUCCAAUUCUCUAGUUAGAAUGUCACCAAGUUCACUAUUGUCAAAGUCCAUGCAUUCAUAGGGUUCUAUGUCCACAUUCUAUGUUCAUAUGUUCUUACCAUCAAUAAGAAUUCACACGUUCAAUAUCACUCGCAUAAUGCCAAUGCCCAUACCCUAUAAUGCAUAAAAACAGAAGUAAAUAUGCUCAAUGAAUAGCAUAGACAUAAAGGGUGAUUCAAAGACUUCGGAUAGCACCACCCACCUGUAGUGGUGUCAAUCAACUAAGAUCAGGGUCUCGAAAAGCGUCGACAACUUUCUCUCGCGACUCCGUGCAAAUAGAACUAGAACGGCCUCUACCGUAAUUAGCGCGUCGUCGACCUGUUGGAAAGUCAAUUUAGACUCUUGGGCAUGUUUACUUUUCACUUAUAAAGGAUUAGAAAAGAUUAAACUAGAGUCAUCGCUCAUAAUUUACAAAUUAGCAUUUCAAUGCUAUAGAAAGCGGCAACUAUAGCCGAAAAUCUUCUUUUGGCGAUAUCUUUGCGUAGGUUCGUCGGAUUGCCGAACCGACUUCGCCAACGCGUUUCUUUUGCCCUCAAUUUGGUUUAUACGCGGUCAAUUUCACUUUAGGACUCUUAUUUUGCAAAAGUGCCUUGCCGGGGUCAGUUUUCUCAAAAAUACUAUUUCAAUGCAAUUUCACAAUUCAAUAGAGUAAUUCAACUCUUUAUUAGCCCAAGGACCUCAAAUCAGUUAGUAAAAACUGUCUAAAUACUUCGAUUCAUCUUUCACUCUAUUUCAUUAUCUUUCUUUCUUGCUUUCUUUUCUUUUCUUUCCUUUCUUUUCUUUCUUUUCUUUUCUUUCCUUUCUUUUCUUUCUUUUCUUUCCUUUCUUGCUUGCUACCCCUGCAGGGCAGCUGCUGCUGCUGCCACUGCUGCUGCGCAUGCUGCUGCUGCUGAGCUGCUGCUCAGCUGCUACUCCAGCAGCUGCUGCUGCUGAUGCCACUGCUGCUGGCUGCUGCUGCUGAAGCUGCUGCUGCUAGUUGCAGCUGCUGCUGCUGAUUGCUGCAGCUGCUGCUGCUGAAGCUGCUUGCACUGCUGCUGCUGCUGCUGCUGGCGCAGGCUGCUGCUGAUGCUCCUCUAGCUUGCAGCAGUAGCAAAGAUUGGUGCUGCUGCUGCUGUUUUCAGCAGUAGGGAAACGAAAAAGAGGGAGGGGGAANGGCUGCUGCUGAUGCUCCUCUAGCUUGCAGCAGUAGCAAAGAUUGGUGCUGCUGCUGCUGUUUUCAGCAGUAGGGAAACGAAAAAGAGGGAGGGGGAAAGUCAGCAAAGAGAGGGAGAAAAAGGAAUACCUUUCUUUCAUUUUUUUCUCCUUUUUCUUCAUCUGCUUCUUCUUCUUCUUCUUCUUCUCUUCUUCUCUUUUUCUCUCCUUCUCUUCUCCUUCUCUCUCUCUCUACGUAUGGCUAACAGGGAGAAGGGGAUAAGUAUGGAGGCUCCCUGUCAGCAGGUUAGUGGAAAUCCACUAAGCCAUGGGUUAAUUACCAUAAUGCCCCUCGACUUAUCCGUUUAGUCGCACGGAUUAGAUACCUUUCGCAGGCUCUUCUAAAUGUCCGAUUGAGCUCAAAUUUGACAGGUAUGUUCGGUUUUACUUAACAAGUCCAAACAAAUUUUAACAUUUCAGUUCCGACCCCAUUUGGUCACUGCGAACUGUCCCGAACUGUAAUCUUCAUCAGAUAACUUUCGGAUGCUAUUUCUCUCUCUACAGGUGUCAGAAUAAUAUGAAACUUGAAAUCUGGCCUCAUACCAAUGUCCCUGACAUCUCCGCCAAUUUUCAUAAUUUUCUGACACUGUGCAUUUUCUGCUAAUUUCUCAGUCCCAUUCUUUACAGAAAAUUUCAAAUCUUCUGUUUUUGCUCCGAUUUCAACACGAACACUUCCAAAACAUGCCAAGGGACUUUCACAAGCUACUAGUUUAAUUUGGAAGCAAUUCCUUUUCAUUUUGACAUCAUAUGGUUCAUUUCGACCAAAUCGACUACAAAAUUCAGCAUUCGAGUUACAAUGGCAAUUGGAGUUCUUUUGUCACUUCGUUUCCACUUGUAUCUAUUCCCACACUUCCAAAGUGUGCCAAUGACUGAUCUCAAGCUUCUAAUUCAGUUUAGAAGUCUCUAAUAUCCAUUUUAGCAUUAUUGUGCCCACUUUGAUCACAAUUAGCUUCUAAUCAAGUUUCAGUCUAUUACAGACCGGUCACUGGUAGGGAGAGACCGGUCCCCGUAGCCCGAAUCUGCCCAAGUUGGGUUGUGUCAUGUUGACAAAGUGCAGGGGUUUUUAUGCAAUUGUAGCAUGAGUUAGGGGUAUAUGAGAGGGUGAGCUCUCUCUCUUUCUCAUUUCUCUCCCAAGCUUAACCCUGACUCCCUCUCUCUCUCUAUAUUCUCUUCCUCUCUCUCUAGAAGGUGAAGAAGAGAAGGGUUUUGGUGGAGAAUCAAGCAAGGAGAAGGAUCUUCGUUGUCUUCUUCUUCCUCUUCACCCUUGGAGCAAGCUUUUGGAGGUAAGCUUCUAGGCUCAACUAUGGUGAACUUCUAGGGUUUAGGUCUUUGAGCUCUAGAAUGGUUUAGUUGAAACUCUAGCAUGCUAAAUAGAUGUUAUAGUACAUGAGUUGGAGGUUUAGCGAUGGAUUCUUCCAUGAUUGCAAGUUAGGGCUCCAAAAAUGGGGUUUUGUGAUUUGUUGGGUAUUUAUCUCAAUUGAUCAAGUGUAAACCUAACUAUUAGGUGUUUAAAUGCGUAGGCGAAGACGGUUCGACGAUUCGUCGAGCGGGUGCAAAGUUAUUGGCAAAAAGGACCUUUCAAGCUUCGUUUCCGCCUGGUAGGCCGAGACGACGUCGUAAAAUCGCCGAACUUCAUUCCAAGAGUCGUGACAACGCCAGAAGGUGGGUGGUGUCAUCCCGAAGCAACUGGGCUCCUCUUUAUGUCUUAGUGCAUUUUAAAUCUUGCAUCUCUUGCAUAUAUACAUUGUAAGAUAAUGUGCAUUCCAUUCCCUUAUGCUUUCCUAGAUGAUAUCAUAGUGUGAGUUGAAUGCUUGAUAUAGUGGAUAGAUAAGGAUUGAGUCGAGACAUUGAAUCCUAUAGUUUUGAGAUAAGAGAUGGACUCGAUGGGUGACAAAAGACAUAACGAGUGGCAUGUAAAUAACAAUGACAACAGAACGAGUGGCAUGUAACUUAGUGUAUAGAUGACACUUGAUAUGUGAACUUAGGGAUAGGUGGAUUCCCUAGAGAUGAGUCAUUGAACAAGAACCUGUAGUUAAACACUUGCAUAUGGACUUUGGGAUAGGUGGAUUCCCGAGUGAUUGUUAGCCCUAGUGAAUAGGGUAUCCCCGAGUUGAGAGGAUUGGAUCAUACUCGUUGUCUGUUCAGAACUUGUGUUGGUCGCUCCUCACAAGUGUGCGCUCCGGAGUUUUGUCACAUAAGGGAUAGCCUUAUGGGAUCCCUGGGAUAGCCUUAUGGGGUCCCGCAGACGGUCUCGGGUUUGUGAACGAGUUGAGUUUCCUUACCAUGAUAUGCAUGUGAGUCGUGGGCGAACCUUAGGGUUGGCCAAGGAUUGGAUAAGCUAAAAGAAUUGAUGAACAAGUAAAGAACAUUACUUCUUGGACAUAGUGGCAUGUUAGUAAACCAUUUACUAUAUGAUGCAUGCAUACAUUAUUGAUGAUUGGGCAUAGUAGCAUAGUUUUCCUACUAUCGUAUUUACAGCUUUGAUAUCUAUCUACCUAUCUAUCUGCUUGUGCCCACUUGGACCUAGUGGGAGAUCGGCGGAGUCGGCGGCCGAACCCACUGGGAACAAUGGACAAUAGUUCUUACCCCACUUUGUUGCAAGGCCGAGUACGAGCGCUCCGGGCGAGGACCGCGGUAAGGGCUUAGCGCCCUAGCAUUAGUAUCCCUCCAGUUGCAUUAGAGGUACCUACUUAUAUGAGAGUAGACGAUGUAUAGGUUGUGAGACGCAUUUUGGAGAGAUAUGAAUGAACUUGUACUUAUGUUUUGGACGAGCAAAAUGUAAAUCAAUUGUAUAAAUGGGCAAAUUGUGAUGUAAUAGAUAGAACUCUCUCUUUUUGCACUUGUAUAUAUACUUGUGUUACUUGCUCUUGUUGCUAUGCACUUGUGGUGCCUCUGUUGUUAUUGUAUGGAUCAUGUAUGUAUUGAAUUGUUCCUGGGCGAAUUCUUGUACAUGAUCCCGCGGUUGAGCCUUGGGCGGACAGGGGAGGUGCUGUCCGUUCGGCGUCUGUUCGACGCACCCGAACCGGACCAAAUGGGUAGCGGUCUCGGGGCGUGACAUUAACUUUUCAGUUUGGACCAUGUUUAGUCACCGAAAGCUCUACCGAACUGUAAUCUCUAGUAGAUAGCAGUCGGAUUUUAUUUUCCACCUUCCUGGUGUCGGAUUUAUAUGAAACUUUUAAUCUAGCCUCAUAAAAAUAAUCCCGUCAUAUUCCCAAGUUUUCAUAAUUUUUUGAUACUGUGCAUUUUCUGCUAAAAUAUCAGCCCCGUUUCUCACAGAAAAUUCUAAAUCUUCUGUUUUCAUUUCGAUUUCAGCACAAGUCAUUUCCGACUUAUAUUUUACUUCUCUAAAUCCAAUAAAAAUAGUAUCUCACACUAUUUUUAUUUAUUUUUACUUUUAUAUUAAAAUCUGAUAUAUUACAGGUGUGUUUGCUCAUUUAACGGUAUAGAAGGGUUCAAAUCAACUAAAUUUUUGUUAAAAAAUUCUUUAAACUAUUUAAAAUAAGAUCUAGACUCUAGAUCUAAAUAUAAAAAUUGUAUCAUCAUUUUUUAAAGGAUAUUCAUUUCCAACCAUUCAUUUUUCUAUUCACUUGAUGAACAAGAGAACAAUAUCGAAAAUGUGUAAAAUUUGAUUUUCAGNAUAUAUAUAUAUAUAUAUAUAUAUAUAUAUAUAUAGAGGUGAGUGGUCCAGUGUCGUGGUCCACAAGCUCUUACAUGAGCUCGUGGACCCCGAUGCAAGGAAGCCCCAUGACCCGCGAUAGUUUUCGUUUUCCGUCGAGAUUCGGCGAAAAACGAAAAGCUGGCUUUUACAUGAAAUAUGUAAAAUAAUUUUUCCUGUACAAUUUUUUUACGUCGAACCAAACGCUAGAAAAAUGAUUUUCCACUGAAAAAAAUUUUUCCGACCAUUUUUACGGGGAACCAAACGCCCCCUUAGCGGCAGUAGAUAAAAUAAUGUCAUAUUUAAAAACUAAAAAACCAAUAAGCAUUAUUUAUGUACUUUUAAAAGCACACAAACUGAAUUUUUUUGUUGACUUAAUUUCAUAAAAAUUUCCGUAAAUAUAGUGAAUGACAAAUAUAUUCUUACAAAGUUCAACUUUUAUAUAUUAUUUCUAUAAAAGUCUACGAUAUUUUCAAAUAUGCCACUCUGUUUUAUUAUCGUUAGAGAACUGUUUAUAUUUUUAAUUUUGCAAUUACAAAUAUAUUUUUCUGAAAGUCAUAACAAUAUAAUAUAAAGGGGUAAAAAUAUCAAAAACUAACCAGAAUUAAAUAUUUAAUCUAUGAUUAGUUAAAAUUUUCUAACGGAUUCUAACGACAGUGAUAUAUUUGAAAACACCAGAAUUUUUAUAGGAACAAUAUAUAAAAGUUAAACUUUAUAGGAAUAUAUACGUCAUUUACUAUAUUUGCACAGAUCUGGAUUAAAUUAAUUUUUUUUUACUGCAACAAAAAAAAAAAAGAAAGAAAAAGUGAGGAUACUCAUCAGUGGGGCAUUUGAUCGAACAGGUGACGUACCUCAAGUGUGGCGGCGUGGUGCUGGGCACGGCGAUGCACCACACCGUCAUCGACGCGCGCAGCGCCUUCCACUUCAUCUCCACCUGGUCCGCCAUCGCGCGCGGCGGCGGCGGCGCCGACCUCCCCCCGCCCCCCUUCCUCGACCACACCCUCCUCCGCGCCCGCUCCCCCCCCGUCGUCCUCUUCGACCACCCCGAGUACAAGCCCACCCCUAACCCUAACCCCAACCCUAAUCCUAAUUCAAGCCCCAACCCCAACCCUUCGUCGACCCCCGCGCCCUACGCCAGCGCCAUCCUCAGGCUCUCCCAGGCCCAGGUCGACGCCCUCAAGGCGCGCUGCUGCUGCGGCGGCGGCGGCGGCGGCGGCGCGCGGGUGUCGGCGUUCCGCGCGAUCGUGGCGCACGUGUGGCGGUGCGUGUGCGCCGCGCGCGGGCUCGCGCGCGGCGCCGAGACGCGGCUCUACACGAUGGUCGACGUGCGCGCGCGCCUCGCCCCGCCGCUCCCCCCCAACUACUUCGGCAACGCCGUCCUCCGCACCUCCGUCGCCGCCGCCGCCGGCGAGCUCGCCGACGCCCCGCUCGGCUCCGUCGCCCGCCGCCUCCGCGCCGCCACGAGCCCCGGCGACGACUACGCGCGCUCCCUCGUCGACUACCUGGACGCCGUCGACAUGGAUCGGCUCCCCCGAAGUGGGUUACCGGGAAACGACUUACGCGUCAUCAGCUGGAUGGGCAUGUCCAUUUACGACGCCGACUUCGGCUGGGGCGAGCCCGUUUUCAUGGGCCCCGCGCUCAUGUACUACGCCGGCUUCGUGUACUUGAUGACCAGCCCCGGUAAAGUCGGCGGCGUAUCCGUCGCCGUCUCCUUGGAGCCCGACACGUUGCCGACUUUCAAGAAGCUGCUCUUCCAGGAGCUCGGAGGGGUACAAGGGUAAAUUCAUAAAGCCAAUUAUUAAUAUAUAUAUUUAUAUUUAUAUAUAUAUAUCUAUAUAUCCCCUAAAACUGGAAUUGCAUUUCCAUUUCCUUUUUUUACUUGGGUUUUUGUUUUUGUUACUCGAGUAAAGAGUCGUUCCCGAUGACGACGGACCAUCUGAAUCGACGAUCGGCGCCGCUGAAUAUAAUCUGUCAUAGCAGGUUAAUUUAUUACGAUGAUAAUACAGAUCUUAUAAUAUUUAAUUUGUGUGUUUCGUAUUAAGUUGGUGCUCUAGGCUCAUAAGUGGAAUUAGUUGGAAGGGCCUAAAAUUGUCCCGGGUGUAGAUGGUUGUUGGGUGAUACAAAUCAUGGUCCCAUAAAUAUAUAUUUGCAUAAAUAAUACUUUUAUUAUCAGGCGAUCGUUUAGGUGGCGUUUUUAAGUUUAACUCGAUGAUUUAUUUUUUUUAUAUUUUUUAUUAUUUUUAUAUUAAAAAAAUAGACUAAAAUGUGAAUAUAAAUACGGUGAUUGAAUCACCAUAUUCAAUUUAAAAUUGUCAACAUGGUUCUCGCGUGAUAAAAAGAUAAUUAUAUAUGCAAAUAUAAAUUUGCUAUGAUUAUUUAUAAAAAAAGAAAAUUUUGAGUGGGCUACAUAUAAAAAAAAAUCCAUAAAAAAUAAAUAAAAAAGUUUGGUAUGAAGUAAUUUUUGACCAUAAAUAUUUAUUUUUAUUGUUUGCUUUGUUAUAAUUUUACUUGUGAUCGAAACUUAAACUCUUAAAAAUGACAUCAUACCAAAGUAAAUUAUAAAAAGAAAAGUGAGAGAAAAAAUAUUAAAUUAUUUAUCAAACCUUCGAUUUUACGUUAUUCACUUUCUAUCAUACAAACAACAUAAUUUAAAAAAAAAAAAGAUUAAAAUAAGAUUUUUGAUAAACACAUGAUAGCUAAGUAUAAUUUUUAAACCAUAGAAUGACAAAGUAAAAAUGAGUUAAACUAUAGAAUAUUUGAAUAUAAUUUUUUAAACUAUAUGAUAAUAAAGUAAAAAUAAUCUAAGCUACAGGGAGCAAAUUAAAGUUUAUCCUAAUGAAAAUUACCUAUGGCAUUCUAUCUCAAAAAAAAAAAAGAAAAAAGAAAAAAAAGUACAAAACAAAACAAAAAAAAUGAGUGUGUAAUUGUUUGGGAUUUGCUUUUAAUUGUGUUUCCAGCUGUAUUUUUCACCUGAUAAAUAGAAAAUAUAAAAAGUUUCUAAUUCAGCAGAAAAAUAGAAAUAAGAUUUUAAGUCUAAAGUUUUACUUCUUAAAAAUGUUUUUUUCAAAAUAUAAGUACCUGUUCUAUAGAGGGAAAUUGUUUUUUUUUUUUUUCUGUUUCCUUUCUUUUUCCAUGCAAUGUUUUCAAUAUUUAUAAUGUACGCAAAUAUUUAAAAUGACAUAAAUGUUCGAGUAUUUAUUUUUUGUAUAUUGUGCAGCGCCUUCUUAUUUUCUCUCAUGUAUGUGUGUACAUUUAUAGUAUGUUACUUACAAGGUGUAUGUAUUCGUAUAUGGUAUUUAUUUACUCACGCUGGUCUCUUUACUUCAUAUAUAUUUUCACUAUGCUAUCAAUAUUUCCUAUUAAAUUUGUGUAUUUGUGUGACACCUCAAUAGUUUUAUAUUGGAUGAAAAUAGAAUUACGAUUGGAAAUAUAAGAGAUUAUGAUCCUAAUAAUAAUAACUGAAUUUAAAUAUUUUGAGCUGGUGGUUUAGGUUAUGUCUAUUAAUUCUCUGAGAGCCACCAAUAGAAUCAUCUAAUAUCACCAGCUAAUUCUCUAAUUUUAGUCUAUAUGUGUGAACUAAGAAUAUAUAUAUGUGAUUUUGGUCUCACAUGGCCUUCUAAUUCUCUAAUUUUGGUCUAUAAAUGUGAUUAUCCAAAAAUCUCACAUUGCCCCAUAAGUUUAAUCUAGAGUUUGGUGGGAGCCAUUUUUUAAAUUCACAAGAGCCACCUCAAAAUUUUCAUAUUGCCUACUAUGUUUGGUCUAUAUGUGUGACUGCUCUAGAAUAUCAUAUUGUCUAGUAAUUUUGGUUUAUAUGUGUGAUUAGGUUUAGAUAAUGUGAGUCACCUUUUAAACCGGCAGGAGCUGUCUCUAAAACCAUGAAUUAGUUAUGAGCCAUAUCUUAAACCCGCAGGAGCUACCUCUAAAAUUUCAUUUCUCUUGCAAAUUUUGGUCUAUAUAUAUGAUUACUCUAAAAUCUCACAUUGCUUGAUAAUUCUAGUGUAGAGUUUGGUGAGAGCCACUUAUUAAAUCCACAAGAGCCAUCUUUAUAAUCUCACAUCGCUUGCUAAUUCUGGUUUAUAUGUGUGGUUACACUAGAAUAUCACAUUGCAUAGUAAUUCUAGUCUAUAUAUGUGACUAAGUUUAGGAUUGACGAGAAUGUCGGAGUCUAUCUGGAGGGAGUCUGUAAUGUCUCAAUAAUUUCACAAUUUAAGCCUAAUGAGAACAUCAGGGUCCAAUUGGUGAGAGUCUAUAACACGAAUAAUUUCACAGAAUAGAAAAUAGAUUGUGAUUGAAAUAUAAGAGAUCAUACUGACCGUCCCUAGAGCAAGUGGCAAAGGACUUUGUGGUUGGUACCCGAGGUCCCAAGUUCGAAUCCUAGUUGAUUCACAUUGUCAGCUAAGUUUAUUUCUAAAUGAAAUAAACGAAGCGGAUAGCGUGCUACCUAUCUCUCAAAUAUGUAUGUAUAUAUAUAUAUAUAUGUGUAUAUAUAUACAUAUAUGUAUGUACGUAUAUGUAUAUAUAUGUAUGUAUAUGUAUAUAUAUGUAUGUAUAUGUAUAUAUAUACAUAUAUGUAUGUAUAUGUAUAUAUAUGUAUGUUUAUGUAUAUAUAUAUAUAUAUGUAUAUGUAUAUAUAUAUAUAUAUAUAUGUAUAUGUAUAUAUAUAUGUAUAUGUAUAUGUAUAUGCUUGUCUACUUAGCUCUUGCACCUCUCUUAUUUUCUGUUGGCUACUCUACGAUUUAUUCUCACCUAGGAUAUCCUAAUCUAGUUGUAGAGUAACAUUGAUUAUGAUUAGUUAUCAUGAUAUGACUACGGUAACAUGGUGUUACAUAGUGAUAUUAUAUAUUCGCUGCAUAAUAACUUUUCAUAUCUCGUACAUGGUGACUUGAUUACAUAGUCAUUAUAGGUCAGUGACAUGGUGACAUUCGUAUUCGUUACGUAGUGAUAUAUACCAUUGCAUGAUGACUUUUCGUACCUUGUACAUGGUGACUUGGUCAUAUAGACCUUAUAGGUCAGUGACAUGGUGACAUUUUCUUCGAAAACAGUGGACCUGAUUCGGUCGGACAUUUGUGAAUUACUUUUUCGGCUAGUUGCCGUUGUUGGCCAUUGAGCAUAUUAUAUCGAUUGCCACAGCUCGUGAGCAUCUUCAUGUACACCAGCGGUCUGAUCUACCGCAAGAAGGUAUUCUUUUCUAAAAAGUGGUCGUACUUCCGACCCGUGAGCCCUACAAGGUGCUUGUUAGGGUUAUAUGCCAGGUGGGCGAGCAAAAUGUGAUUUAGCCUGAGGUCUUUUGACCAAUACGCCAGUGGUUUUGGUUGUUGGUUUCGUUCACCCAGUUGAUGCAUUGGUGCGUUCUAUGGUUAGUUACUGUAGCAGAUAGUUAUAUACCGAUUAGAAGUUGCAGUUCCUUCCUAGUCAUUAUUGCUACUAUUCUAAUACACAUGUUGAUUAUACUCAGUUGUUGAUUCCUACUUUAUCUUACAGUAGCGGUAUUUUUGCAUAUACUACCUGCUAUUAUAUCAUUGCUACUGACCUUACGAUAUCUGUUCAUUACUUUGAUUAUCUCUUCCUUUGCCGAUGAGUACCCCUCGCCUUUGUCGGCUUGCGAUACCCACUGGGAGGGGAGACAUGUUUACAUGUUCUCACCCCCCACCAUUUUUCAGGUGAUGCGGGCAGUGAGGGUCGGGUGGUGCAUAAGGACAAUACUAAAUAGCCGCGUUCCAGAUCCGUCUGUUGUUGACGUUUACUAUAAUUCGGUUGGAUUAGUUUAGUUCUUUACCUAACAAUGUUUAAAUAUAAUCAAGGUAUGUGAAUCAUAGUUUUCAUAUGAUCAUUACAUUAUUUGUAUUGUGUGGUUGUAUUUGUGGUUGACUAUGUUUUGAGUUGCUACGCCGUAUAUGUACAAGGGAGACUCUGUCCGUCUAUACAGGGCAUCCUUUGUCCAUGUGGUGGGUCUGUGUGCAUUCGCGGGGUGUUCUCAAAGGUGUUAAAAAAAAAAAUUUAGAGGUUUUCCACUAGCUUUCCUUAAAAAAAAAUUCAAAUUAAAAGAUUCCCAGGGCGUGACUUUGUGUAAGGAAGUGAAUUCUCGAAAUCCGAGAGUUGGACUUCGCUCAGAAUCGACUAAUUGUCGAGAAGAUAUGCUUCGGAAAAGCCGAAGAAGUCAGAAAACCGAAAAGUGCAUUGGCGAGGGCCUCGAAGAGCAAAGGAAUGGAAAUCUGCAACUUUACAGAUUUUGCUCUCGGGGACCGGUCCAUGGUGGGAAGGACCGGUUCCCGUAAGCCUGGUAUGCAGCAGAAAAUCUCUGCGCACAAAGUUUGCUCUCGGGGUCUUGUCCCUCGUGGAGAGACCGGUCCCUGAAGGUCCGGUCCCUCAGGCUAGGACCGGUCCCCGUACGCGUGGAAAAUGGAUCAGGGUGUCCUGCGAGAGAUCUGCUCUCGGGGACCGAUCCCUCUGGGGGAGAGACCGGUCCCCGUGUGCGUGAGAGGCAGCUGCAAGCUGCUGCAUGAAGAGCAAUGCUCUCGGGAACCGGUCCCUGGCUAGAAAUACCGGUCCCUGAGCGCGAAAAUGGCCCAGUCUGGGCAGUGUGAGAGAGACAAAGUGGAGGGACUCUAAUGCAAUUGUCGCAUUAGUUGAGGGUAUAGAUGGGAGACCAGUCUCUCCCUCUCUCAUUUUCACACCCCACUCUCUCUCUAAGCUCUCUCUCUCCCUCUCUCUUGAAGUGAGGAAGGAGAAGAAGAAAAGGAAGAAGAAGAAGGUAAAGAAGAAGGAGAGCAAGCAAGAGAACACUUUGGUCAUCUUCUUCUUCCUCCUCUUCACCAUUGGAGCUUGCUUAGGAGGUAAGCUCAUGAGCUCUGUCACGCCUCGAGCUCCAUUUUUAGUUUCAAAACACAGCGGAAGGGUCUAUUUUUUUUAAAAAAAAAACCUGACCCCCAUAGUAUGCCAGAUCCGCCACAAAUACAGGGAGCCCAUUGUUCACACGGACAGAGUCUCCCAUGUAUUUGCACGGCGUCGCACGAGUACAAAAAUAUAACCAGGAUACAACCACUAUCACUGAACAUACAAAUAUCCAUACAUUCGUACAUCCAUACACCAUUCACCACAGGUUCAUAUACAGAGAUUUGAACAUAAAUCCAGAUUUAUCAGUUGAAAUGUUUCCUACCCGGAAACUCAUUUUGAAAUACUACUUUAUGAAAACCACAAGAAAACCUUUUCAAAACUGUUUCCAACACGGAAAUCUUUUUCUUUUUAAAACACGCUACCACGAGGGGUAGAAAACCGUUUUCAUCUAAAAAAAAACCAUAAGUUCUUUAAUUUAUUUACUAAAAUCACAUUUAUUCAAUUAAACAAAAACCAACUGAACCAAUAUAUCAAAGAUAUAACAACAGAAAUAAAAAGGCUAGCAACUAAACUAAACCAACCGGGUCGGAAGCUCUAUUGACCGCUACGAACGUGUCUCACAUCUCGUCUCAACCCUCACUGCCCGCAAUGCCUGAAAAAUGGUGGGGGAGGUAAGAACAUGUAAACAUGUCUCCCCUCCCAGUGGGUACCGCAAGCCGAAGAAGGCGAGGAGUACUCACCGGAUUAGGAAGAGAUAAAUAACAUGGGUAAGUGAAAUACAGUAGCAACGAUAAUGAACGAAUGAGAUAUAUAUAUAUGAAAGAACAACUACCGCUACUGUAACGAAGAACUGAAAGCAUACAAGGAUAUCAAAACUAUAGUAGCAAGACAACUGUAAAGAAAGACUAUAAGUAUACAUGCAACAACCGCUACUAUAGCUAUAUGCAUCAACCGGACGAGAAGUCCAAAUAUACCCAAUCUGAAAACUUGGCCCUGUUGGUCCGCACGGCAGACCUCAAGCCUGUCACGCCCCACCCCGAAUCCACUACCAAUUUGGCACGGUUCGGGCGCGCCGGACGGACCGCCGAACGGACAGCACCUCUCCUAUCCGCCCAAGGCUAAACACCCAGAUCAUGUACAAAUAAGCGCCCAGGAAAUGCUUAGAUAACAUACACGAUCGAUAAGAUGCACACAAGUGCAAUACAUCUAAGAGCAAGAACCACAAGUAGAUACAAGUGUAUAAAGAGAGAUAGUCUAACUAUUACAACCAUUCAACAUUUGAAUAUAUUACAUUUUCAACUUCCAAAUGCAAGUACAUGUUUUCCUCAAAAUAUAAGUAGCUCUCUAAUAACCAUCCAAAACAUCAUCUAGUACACGAGGGUACUCUAAUGCAUAAAGGAAAAGCUACUAUCUAAGCUCACUUAGGGCGCUAUGCCCUUGCCGCGGUCCUCGCUCGACUCGCCUCUGUGUGUACCUGUACCCCAAAACCACACGGGGUGAGAACUAUAUAAAUAUAGUUCCCAGUGGGUUCGGCCGCCGACGCCGCCGGUUUUCCCACUAGGUCUAAGCUGGCACAGAUAGAGAGAUAGAUAGAUAUAUAGAGAAUGAACUGCAACUACUCUAUCAUGCCAUCAAUGAUAAUAAUGCAUGAAACAACUACUAUCAUGCUAGUAUCAUGUCAUAAGUAUAGAAAAGUACAUAACAAUGCAAACUGCAACAUACACUAUGUCUACUCAAGGUAAUAAUGCAAAUCUACUAUGCAUUUCAUGUUUAUUACCCAAUCUACUUGGCUAACCCGUAGGUUAAACCCUCGACUCACUCUCAAUCUCAUAGGUGAGGAGAAGCUGCACUCGCACACUGAGACCGUCUGCGGGACAACUACGUCUGCCCCUAGUAAAGUACUCCGGAGACUCAUGCCACAGUGGAGCGACCACCGACGGCGAAAACAAACUAGUGAGUAUGAUCCAAUCCUCACAAGAGGAUACCCUAUCUACAAGGGUCAACGUGCCUCUGCUGCACAAUAUACAAUGCAUCCUAGAUGCCGGGAUCUCAACUAUCCCUAAGUUCACGUCAAGUUUACUACACUAGACUCGAUGCCACUCGUUCGGUCAUUGUAGUAAGUUUUCUACUAGUUGACAUGCCACUCGUUUCAAUUUAGUGUUUCUACUACACUAGUUCAAUGCCACUCUACUAGGCUAUCAUAUGUCCAAGUUCGGCUCUUUAUGCCGCUAUAGGAUUCUAUGUCACAAAACCCAAUCCUCAUGCUAUCCUAGUCCACGUGUCAAGCUCACCCCGCUACACUACCAAGAAAGCAUGCAAGGAAAUGGAAAUGUACAACUACUAUUCCUAUAGCACAAUAUGAUCAAUAUAAUUAACUUAGACAUAAAAGAAAACCCGGAUGUUUCGGGAUGACACCCCCCACCUUUUGUGUAUAAGGAGGCUCUAGAAAUGCGCUUCGGCGUUCUUUACGACGAAGCCUCGGUCUCCUUGGUCCAAAUGACGCUCAAUCGGCCUUGUUUCGCCGAUAGCUCUUGACCCGCUCGACGAAUGCGAAAUCCGACUUCGCCCCCGCGUUUUGGCACCUACCAAUUAGGUUUACAAGGCCUCAAAUGAGAUCAAGCUCAUACUUUACCAAAAACCCUAUUUUGGUGCCCUAGGGUUCCCAUCUUGCCAUUUGCAAUUUGGAACCCUAACUCUAGCUUCAAUCCUCCAACAAUGGUGCUAGGGGUCCAUUUGACCCCAUUUCCAAAGCUCAAAACCCAAAAACCCUAAGUUUCAUAGCUAGGGUUUGUAGCCUACCUCUUGUUGUAGCUUCAAGAGAGAAGAGAGGAUGAAGGAGAGGUCCAAAAGCCUUCUUUUGUUGAUCUCCUUCUUCUUCUCCUUCCUUUUCUCCCUUCAUUUCCUUCUCUUUUCCCUUCUUCUUCUUCUUCUUUCCCUUCUAGAGAGAGAGAGAGCAAUAAAGUGUGAGGGAGAGAGAGAGAGAGUGGGCUGAGGGAGAGUGAGAGGGAGAGAGGGACUAAUAAGCCCUCUAAUGUAACAAUAUCCAGUUAAAUCCCUCCACUUUUCACUCUGUGCACUGCCCUUACUGGGCUGCCUGCGCGCGAAGGGACCGGUCUCCCCGACUUGGGACCGGUCCCCGAGAGCUUCAGCUCGGGUCACGCGUUCGGGUACCGGUCUCUCCCAGAGAGACCGGUCCUCGGGAGACCGGUCCUUGCCUCUGAGACCGGUCCCCGAGAGCAACAUUUUCAGGACGUAGCCAAAUUUCUGGCUUUCUCGCUGGGAUCACGUUCGGGGACCGGUCCCUCACUGCCAGGGACCGGUUGCCUCAAGCAACCCCCGCAACACCAGCCGAUGGGACCGGUCUCUCCCUGCCAGGGACCGGUCCCCGAGAGCAGUUUUGCUCCAGUGCAGGUUUCGCACCAUUUGCUCUCGUGGACUCGUUUUCAAUGCACUUUUGGUGAUUUUAAUAUCUUUGGCUUUUCCAAAGCUCACCAACACGACCCUUGGUCGGUUCUGGAUGAAGUCUAAUCCUCGUAUUUCGAGAAUUCACUUCCUCACAAAGCCUAUGCCACUGCCACUCUACCUGUGUAUAACCCAAGGUAGCCUAUGGGCUCACAGGCUGCAUAUAACCCAAGGUAGCCUAUGGGUUCACGGGUUGGCCCCCUCUUGUGGUGGAUCAGACCGCUGGUGUUCGUGAAAUGCGUACGAGUCUCGGACGAUCAAUGCUGAUAUGCUCAAUAGCCAACCGUCGGCAACCAGUCGACAAUCACCGCCCCUCGGGGCAAACCGACCAAUAGGUCAUCACACUAUAAGGAAGCACAAGAACCGACCGCUCAGGUCAACUAGGAUGGAACCACUUAACACCCUAUCGAAGAUAUGCAAGUAUAAUCCAGAACUAACCAUCAACCACUAGCCGACAAUCCUACCCCUCAGGGUAUACCGACCGUAUAGGUCAUCACACAAUGAAAGUCACGAACUGACUAAUUAGGUCGCAAGCAUAUCCAACAGUAGAUCUGAGUAAACUAUAAUCAACCGUCGGCAACUAACCGACAAUCCCACCCCUCAGGGUAUACCUGUGUCACGCCCGAGUACCAGCGGAAGCAUAUCCGGUACGUGCACAGACCCGCCAUACACCUGCCGUAUAUAAGGCGUCUACAAGAACACAAGUCGCUAGGAAGAAAAACAUAGAAAAUCCUAUCCUGAUAUCAGAGCAAAGUACAAGUCGAUAAUACUAUCAACAAUAGCAUAAGGAGUACACAAUCCAAAAUCUCAACUAAAAGAGAAAAUAUCACAACUAUAGUAUCUGGUUCAACAGUAAAUAUACAUCACGAGGUAUACAAAAAAUAGGUACAAUGGUGGUCUCUCUAUAUAUAGGGACAUCACCCUCGGCCGUAACCCGAGUAGCAAGGUGAUCGACUAGCAUGCUCCUAGCAAUGUCUAGCUAGACGCGACUCCCUUGCCACGAUCCCUAGCCUCUCCUGUAACAGGCUCUGUAAAAACAACCACAAAAAGGGCGUGAGAACUAUUAACAAUAGUUCCCAGUGGGUAAGCCGCCAGCCUCGACGAAUUACACCACUAGGCUCAUGAUGUAAUGAAUGAAAGUAAAAGCAGUGAUUGCAUGAUAUAUCUAUAUGAUGCUAACAAGUAAUGAGCAUGUAAUCAACAUGUAAUCAUAAUUUCUGCAGUAAUGAAUCAAACUAUAUAAUAGAAACAUAGCCACUACUGUAUCAUGAACAUAAACAUGAACAUAAGCACGAAUGUGUAAGUACUACUGUACACUAUAACUGGUAAGCAUUCAUUACUGUCAUUUGUCAUUUAGAGCUUUCAUCUCAUUUAGAGUUUCCUUUCAUUCAUCAGGGCCUACCCAAGGUAGUCCGGCUUGCGCCGCGCCUAAUGGCCCCGUGGUAGUAUACACUCCCCACGGCAAUCCACUUCGGCACCCAAUCCCGCACGGGCGAGCAACUGUCGCGUAGGCCAACUCCGGAGUGCCGGCUUGUAGGGAGCGACCCUCACAAGCGUGUGCGAAUGAGCACGAUGGCAAGCAAGCAUAAUCCACAGUCCAAUAUGUCUCAAUUAUCAUGUUUUAGCUCACAAUAUUCUCGCUCUCGAUCCUUUGAUCGGAAUUUCAAUAUAACAAUUAUUGACAACAACUAGUAUCCACUAGACUAAUAAACAUGCGACAGUAAUGCUAAUUUACAUAUGGCAUUAGAAUCUUUCCACUAUCAUGGCACUAUCAACAUAGGCAAAAAGCAUGUCAUUGUUCUCUACUUUAGAGUCAAGAGAAUGUCAUUGUUCUCUACUUUAUAGAAGCAUUAUAAACUUAUCUCUUGGUUGUUCUACUGAACUAAACAAGAAUACUAUUAUGCAUGAAUACUUUUAUGCAUGAAUGCUCUCUACUUCAUAGAGGUUCUAUUUCAAUUAUAUCAAAUGUUAUAGUGACAUGUUCCAAGUACUUUACUAAUCACAAUAAUCACAAUUACACACAACUAUACCAAUUCUAUAGUCACAUAUAGAACAUAGGGGAGCUUCACUUGCUCUGGUUAGGUCAAACCCACCUAGUACUAAGCUCAAAUCAGUCCAAAGGAAUCCCAAGGAUCAGCUCCACUAGGUCUCAAUCCUGCUGAACACAAAGCAUGAAUAUCGUAUCAAAACUACAACCGAAAUGUCCAAUUUCGGCGCAAUUGCACUUAGUACAUAGUAAUAGCUUAAAUCCCUGUUUUGGCUCAGUUAAUACCUCAAGUUAAGCUUCCAAAAUCCCUCACGCAUCAGCCGGAGAUAAUCCGAAGGUCCGUUGCAAGCCCGCUGCGAACCAUUUCCAAAACAGCAACAAAGUCAUCAAAUACUAAUAAAUAUAGUCGGAAUCUUGCGAAUUCAGUUUUCUAACUGAAAUUCCUGCUUACCUCAGGUUAGAACACUUCUAGACCAGUCCCCAAGGUCACCAAAUUAGCUCAAAGUGGUUCAAAAACCUACUGCGAAGGAAUCAUUCCAAACUGCAUUAGUUACCCGAUUAAACUUCAUAUAGUUCCGAACUAGCUUCAUAAUUGGCUAAUUAUCUCUAUCAAGCUUCAAAGUAGCAUAUCCCUGGUCUAAGGAGAUUAAUUCACAGCUAAUUAACUCAUCUUUAAUUGCUGAAACCUCAGUUUAAAACAAUUGGAAGCAAAAACCUGAAAUUAAUACCCGAUUCGACUACUAGAACAUCGAUAACGAAAAAGUUGAGCCGAUUACCUUAUCAACCCUCCAACCAGCAACCUACUAGUCUAAAGCUGUGAAGAACCUUCCACAAUACUCUCUCACACGUCCACCAGGGCUCUGCGACACUCGCAAACAGCGGAGAACAAGCGGUGCGACAAAAACGAGCUAAAUCGGCGAUUUCUUUGUAGAGAAAGAAAAACCCUAGAGAGAGAGAGUAAGGAUGGUGCAAAGACCUUUCUCUGGGCUCUAGCAUCAUCUAUGGGGCUCCAGAGGUCGUGCUGGGGUCAAGUAGAUAUGGAUUAGAAGUGAAAUUACCAAAUUAACCUUGCUGCCACGUAUCUGCCAUUCUGUACCGGUACACCAAGCAAAAAAAUACUGAUUUCGCCAAAUCAAUGCACUUUCUUGCUUUUAGCUUUCCAAACACCCUCUAACUUGUCCAAAAACUUGUCCAAGCCUUUUAGAACAUAUAGGAUAGAUCCACAUAUCAUUCCUCACACUCGAACUUCGCAAUUUGCAAAAGUUCAGUGUAUUACAACCUGUAAGGUACCGGACUUUUAAAAUCAUGAAGUUACGAUGUACAUUUGGUUGGAGAGCCAUUAGAAUGGUUCCGGUGAAGUUCCGGUUAAGUCCGGAAGCAUUCGGGCGUUUUCGGUGCGCGUAAGCGCUAAAACGGAGCCCGAAAGGCUAUGUUUGUGACACACGGGACCUUUGUAAAUUGCGAGGUUUGAGUGAUUGGAUGUGUUCCGAGCUAUUCCACACUUGGUGGAGGGUCGUAGAAUGUUUUUCGACCUAAAAAGUUCGAAAACCUGAGUUCUGGACGAGUCCUGAGAGUUUUUACUCUCGAGGACCGGUCCCUAAUAGGAGAGACCGGUCCCCCAGUGAGCAGUGUUGCGGCCAGCCUGAGGCAACCGGUCCCGGGCGGGGAGAGACCGGUUCCCGAACAAUGGUUUUUCGGGUUCGACACGAGAGACCGGUCCCAUGCAGGGAGAGACCGGUCCCUCUGGGCGAAAAUUGCCCAGUCCGGGCUGAUGUAAAUUUGAGUUUUUGAGGGGCCUCUCUGGAUUUUGUUACUCUAAAUGGUCUAUAUGGUCAUUUCACUCUCUUCUCUCCUCAUUUCUCACCCUCUCCCCAUACCCUCUAGAGAGAGAAGAAGAAGGAGGAGGAGAAGAAGAAGAGGAGGAGCUUGCUUGAGGGAGCUUGGAGCUUCAACCCUUUCUCUCCUUCCUACCCUUGCAAGGCUUGGAGCUUGCUUGUUGGGCUUGGUGGUGGACCAAUCUUCAACCCUAGAAGAUUUGGAGCUUAUUUGGAGGCAUCUAGAGAGGUUAGUACUUUGAUUCUAACCUUUGAUCCUUGUAUUGGUAGGUUUUUACCAUAUGGAACCCUAGAAUGGGAUUUUAGGGUUGAUUUUGGGGCUUUUUGAUCUAGG